RNAcentral lists this long non-coding RNA (430 nucleotides) under Monodelphis domestica (gray short-tailed opossum). RNAcentral's name for it is "lncRNA (ENSMODG00000039220.1)". Lineage: Eukaryota; Metazoa; Chordata; Mammalia; Didelphimorphia; Didelphidae. The record is from RNAcentral.
CAGAAUAAUGAAAGAAACCAAUUGUGUUGAAAUUGUCACCAAAAUAUAUUUUUAAUAUUUCAGAAAAUUCAGAGAAUGAGCCUCGCGGUGACCCUGGGAAUGUUGUGGACGGUGCAGACAGUUUCUAGCUGUGUGACUCUGGGCAAGUCACUUAAUCUCUGUUGUCUAGUCCUUGCUGCUCUUCUCUGUCGUAGAAUUGGUACUAAAACAGAAGGAACCAAUUAAGUCUUUACUUCAGCUCAGCCUUCUAGACCUCUUAAGAGAUGGAAGAAAGGAGUAUAUGGAAUAUCUUAUCUUAGGAACAGAGGAUCAAUUUUGUGGAUUCAAGAAUGUAUGAAGGAGAAGCAUUUUAAAUACUCUAGACUGAAAAGGUAGGUUACACAUCCAUAACCAAUAUCAUAUUACUUGCUUUCUUAUGGAGAAGUGGGAG